RNAcentral lists this ribosomal RNA (349 nucleotides) under Bifidobacterium pseudocatenulatum. RNAcentral describes it as "bacterial SSU rRNA". The stretch from base 1 to 296 matches the Rfam family "Bacterial small subunit ribosomal RNA", at positions 65 to 358 of the family's 1533-position model. The record is from RNAcentral. Lineage: Bacteria; Bacillati; Actinomycetota; Actinomycetes; Bifidobacteriales; Bifidobacteriaceae.
CACGGGAUCCAUCAGGCUUUGCUUGGUGGUGAGAGUGGCGAACGGGUGAGUAAUGCGUGACCGACCUGCCCCAUACACCGGAAUAGCUCCUGGAAACGGGUGGUAAUGCCGGAUGCUCCGACUCCUCGCAUGGGGUGUCGGGAAAGAUUUCAUCGGUAUGGGAUGGGGUCGCGUCCUAUCAGGUAGUCGGCGGGGUAACGGCCCACCGAGCCUACGACGGGUAGCCGGCCUGAGAGGGCGACCGGCCACAUUGGGACUGAGAUACGGCCCAGACUCCUACGGGAGGCAGCAGUAGGAGGUCUGGGCCGUAUCUCAGUCCAAUGUGGCGGGCUCUCUCGGCGGCUACCGU